UACGUAGGUGGCAAGCGUUGUCCGGAUUUAUUGGGUUUAAAGGGUGCGUAGGCGGUUCUAUAAGUCAGUGGUGAAAUCCGGCAGCUCAACUGUCGAUGUGCCAUUGAUACUGCAGAACUUGAGUACAGACGAGGUAGGCGGAAUUGACGGUGUAGCGGUGAAAUGCGUAGAGAUCGGAAAGAACACCAACGGCGAAAGCACUCUGCUGGGCCGACACUGACACUGAGAGACGAAAAGCUAGGGGGAGCGAAUGGG
This 255-nucleotide ribosomal RNA is filed under the name uncultured bacterium. RNAcentral's name for it is "partial 16S ribosomal RNA". It matches the Rfam family "Bacterial small subunit ribosomal RNA", at positions 524 to 776 of the family's 1533-position model. The record is from RNAcentral.